This 327-nucleotide ribosomal RNA is filed under the name Puma concolor (puma). RNAcentral's name for it is "partial 16S ribosomal RNA". It matches the Rfam family "Bacterial large subunit ribosomal RNA", at positions 1968 to 2469 of the family's 2925-position model. The record is from RNAcentral. Lineage: Eukaryota; Metazoa; Chordata; Mammalia; Carnivora; Felidae.
UUUGUUCCCUAAAUAGGGACUUGUAUGAAUGGCCACACGAGGGCUUUACUGUCUCUUACUUCCAAUCCGUGAAAUUGACCUUCCCGUGAAGAGGCGGGAAUACAACAAUAAGACGAGAAGACCCUAUGGAGCUUUAAUUAACCGACCCAAAGAGACCCAUUAAUUUCAACCGACAGGAACAACAAACCUCUAUAUGGGCCGACAAUUUAGGUUGGGGUGACCUCGGAGAACAGAACAACCUCCGAGUGAUUUAAAUCAAGACUAACCAGUCGAAAGUAUUACAUCACUUAUUGAUCCAAAAGUUUGAUCAACGGAACAAGUUACCCU